ACGAGGGUUUAACUGUCUCCUCCCCCCAGUCAAUGAAAUUGAUCUGCCCGUGCAGAAGCGGACAUAAAAACAUAAGACGAGAAGACCCUAUGGAGCUUUAGGCUAAAGAUUCAAACACAUAAAGAAACUUCAUAAAACAAAAGAGAUAAAACAAAUUUAAACCCAGUGCCCAAAUGAUCACAUGCCUUCGGUUGGGGCGACCAUGGGGAAAAACAAAACCCCCAUAUGGAACGAGAACCCUCCUCCUCCAAACUAAGGAAAACACUUCUAAGUAACAGAAAAUCUGACCAAUCAUGACCCGGAACAAAUAAAUCCGAUCAAUGAACCAAGUUACCCUAGGGAUAACAGCGCAAUCCUCUCCCAGAGUCCCUAUCGACGAGAGGGUUUACGACCUCGAUGUUGGAUCAGGACAUCCUAAUGGUGAAGCCGCUAUUAAGGGUUCGUUUGUUCAACGAUUAACAGUCCUACGUGAUCUAGCC
This is a ribosomal RNA of 479 nucleotides. It matches the Rfam family "Bacterial large subunit ribosomal RNA", at positions 2004 to 2611 of the family's 2925-position model.